AUUUUUAUGGAGAGUUUGAUCCUGGCUCAGGAUGAACGCUGGCGGCGUGCCUAAUACAUGCAAGUCGAGCGAACAGACGAGGAGCUUGCUCCU
This 93-nucleotide ribosomal RNA is filed under the name Staphylococcus epidermidis. RNAcentral describes it as "partial 16S ribosomal RNA". It matches the Rfam family "Bacterial small subunit ribosomal RNA", at positions 1 to 87 of the family's 1533-position model. Lineage: Bacteria; Bacillati; Bacillota; Bacilli; Caryophanales; Staphylococcaceae. The record is from RNAcentral.